GCAGUGGAGGAGGAGGAUGAGGUAGCCAACACUGUUUUUAUAUAUAUAUAUAUAUAUAUAUAUAUUUUAAUUGGGGUAGCCCCCAAAAUAUUGGCACAGAUAAAAAAAGACAACUCUUUUCUGCAGAAUAGCUGUUGACAUUAUAGUUGUGCAGGAACUUUGUUGACUCUAGAGAACCUCGGGCAAAUCGCACAUCCCCGUGGCGGCGACUUUGCAUGCGGAUGUCAUCCAUAUCAACUUUCGAUGCCAGUUUCUGCGCCUAUCAUGGUGACCACGGGUAACGGGUAAUCAUGGUUCCAUUCCAUACAGGGACCCUGAGAAAUGUCUACCACAUGCAAGGAAGGCAGC
Non-coding RNA from Pelobates cultripes (western spadefoot toad), 348 nucleotides. The record is from the annotation of a GenBank genome assembly. Lineage: Eukaryota; Metazoa; Chordata; Amphibia; Anura; Pelobatidae.